UGACACUGUCGCCUCCGAAUUCUGGUC
This 27-nucleotide non-coding RNA is filed under the name Homo sapiens (human). Lineage: Eukaryota; Metazoa; Chordata; Mammalia; Primates; Hominidae. The record is from RNAcentral.